CAGAAGAUAAGCAAAUGAGUGAACGUGUUAUAUGUUUUAAGCUCAGAUAAUAAUUUUUUGGUGCAUAUGAUAUAUCUUUAUGAUUUCCUUCUUUAAUCAACUUUUUCAUGUAACCAACCAGUUCCAAAGAAGUGGGCUUCUACUGUAGAAAAUAGAGCUAUCACCAAUAUAUCAGAAAGUUUCAGUUUGGAGGAAUUGGCAAUAAAUGUGUUCUGUGUAAUGAAUCAUAUUUCCCCGAAAACUUCUAAUCUAAUUUUGGUAUUUGUUUUAUUUUUUUAAGUAUCCCAAUAUACUUGAUUAUUUGAUAUAUUUGGUCCUGAGUGUUCUUGUAGCCGAAGAUUUAUUUUCAUCGCCAACCCUGUGUUUGCUCCUCUCCCUCGUUUAAAGCCACUACUAAUUGUGUUAAAUAGACAAAUGCCAAGAAUUGGAUUUUUCAGAUGAAAUCGCAACUUGAUAUGUGACCCUCUCACAUUUAAAUUUAUGGGAAUCCCAACUUGUCAAACACCUGUAAACACGCAUUGAACAAAGGAUGAACAAUUGAAGUCAAAUGAAAUUCUGUGGGAGAGAUACAAAGAGGGAAAGAGAGAGAAUGAGUGCAUCUG
This 602-nucleotide long non-coding RNA is filed under the name Equus caballus (horse). RNAcentral describes it as "lncRNA (ENSECAG00000048811.1)". The record is from RNAcentral. Lineage: Eukaryota; Metazoa; Chordata; Mammalia; Perissodactyla; Equidae.